Molecule: ribosomal RNA, 397 nt
Filed under: uncultured bacterium
Lineage: Bacteria
Description: partial 16S ribosomal RNA
Rfam family: Bacterial small subunit ribosomal RNA
Source: RNAcentral
AUACGUAGGUGGCGAGCGUUGUCCGGAAUUACUGGGUGUAAAGGGCGUGUAGGCGGGGAGACAAGUCAGAUGUGAAAUACCGAGGCUUAACUUCGGGGCUGCAUCUGAAACUGUUUUUCUUGAGUGUCGGCGAGGAAAGCGGAAUUCCUAGGUUCGCGGUGAAAUGCGUAGAUAUUAGGAGGAACACCAGUGGCGAAGGCGGCUUUCUGGACGACAACUGACGCUGAGGCGCGAAAGCGUGGGGAGCAAACAGGGUUAGAUACCCUGGUAGUCCACACUGUAAACGAUGAAUGCUAGGUGUAAGAGGUAUCGACCCCUUUUGUGCCGGAGUUAACACAAUAAGCAUUCCGCCUGGGGAGUACGGCCGCAAGGUUGAAACUCAAAGGAAUUGGCGGGG